AAAAAUUGCUCGAUUUUAGGUGCCCUUUGGGGAGAAUAGGGAAGUUCGGUUCAAAACCGACGCGGACCCACCACUGUAUUCGAUGAGCUUUGUAGACCACUGGCACUUUGCUGGGAAGGUAACAAAUUAAAGCGAUGAUUCGAUAGCCAGGAGACCUGCCUAAAAUGUUUAAGUCUU
This 177-nucleotide non-coding RNA is filed under the name Peptococcaceae bacterium. The record is from RNAcentral. Lineage: Bacteria; Bacillati; Bacillota; Clostridia; Eubacteriales; Peptococcaceae.